GCCUACGGGGCGCAGCAGUGGGGAAUAUUGCACAAUGGGGGAAACCCUGAUGCAGCGACGCCGCGUGAGCGAUGAAGUAUUUCGGUAUGUAAAGCUCUAUCAGCAGGGAAGAAAAUGACGGUGCCUGACUAAGAAGCCCCGGCUAACUACGUGCCAGCAGCCGCGGUAAUACGUAGGGGGCAAGCGUUAUCCGGAUUUACUGGGUGUAAAGGGAGCGUAGACGGCGAUACAAGCCAGAUGUGAAAGCCCGGGGCUCAACCCCGGGACUGCAUUUGGAACUGUAUAGCUAGAGUGUCGGAGAGGCA
This 305-nucleotide ribosomal RNA is filed under the name uncultured bacterium. Its description in RNAcentral is "bacterial SSU rRNA". It matches the Rfam family "Bacterial small subunit ribosomal RNA", at positions 337 to 659 of the family's 1533-position model. The record is from RNAcentral.